AUAAUACUCCAUAGAUUAGAGACACUGGAAUGUUCUUUAGUCGAAAGUUCUGGCGCCUUAGGAUGGAUCUGCGGUCGAUUAGGUUGUUGUUGGGGUAACGGCCCAACAAGCCUGUAAUCGAUACGGGUUGUGGGAGCAAGAGCCCGGAGAUGGAAUCUGAGACACGAUUCCAGGCCCUACGGGGCGCAGCAGGCGCGAAAACUUUACAAUGCAGGAAACUGUGAUAAGGGAACUCCGAGUGCCCGUAUACGCGGGCUGUCCAGGUGUUUAAAAAUCAUCUGAAGAAAGGGCCGGGCAAGACCGGUGCCAGCCGCCGCGGUAAUACCGGCGGCUCGAGUGGUGGCCACUAUUAUUGGGCUUAAAGCGUCCGUAGCUGGACCGAUAAGUCUCUUGGGAAAUCCGCCGGCUCAACCGGCGGGCGUCUAAGGGAUACUGUUAGUCUAGGGACCGGGAGAGGUGAGAGGUACUCCGGGGGUAGGAGUGAAAUCCUGUAAUCCCCGGGGGACCACCGAUGGCGAAGGCAUCUCACCAGAACGGCUCCGACAGUGAGGGACGAAAGCUGGGGGAGCGAACCGGAUUAGAUACCCGGGUAAUCCCAGCCGUAAACUAUGCGCGUUAGGUGU
This 623-nucleotide ribosomal RNA is filed under the name uncultured archaeon. Its description in RNAcentral is "bacterial SSU rRNA". It matches the Rfam family "Archaeal small subunit ribosomal RNA", at positions 146 to 774 of the family's 1478-position model. The record is from RNAcentral.